Molecule: unclassified non-coding RNA, 3636 nt
Filed under: Leishmania donovani
Lineage: Eukaryota; Euglenozoa; Kinetoplastea; Trypanosomatida; Trypanosomatidae
Description: gene:LdHU3.13.1870(CDS-product:squalene_monooxyge nase-like_protein)
Source: RNAcentral
CCCCUCCUCAAUACCACAUCUGUUGUCGUUGUCUUUUUUUGCCUGUUUCCUCGCUUCGCCUUUGUCGUCGCUUCAUCAGCAACCCUCCUCUGCCCCCUGCCCCGUGCCUCCCCCCUCUCUCUCUGCGCGUGCGUGUGUGUUCGUGUGUAUCGGCUACCCUCCUCUCUCCCUGUUGAGGGAACAUAUUGAGACACACGGCCACUCACGCAGAGAUACGCAGACACACAUACGUAGCAUCGCGCCUGCGUUCACGUGCGAGGGAGAUUACGAGUGUGCGUGUUUGCUGUGUCGUAUCCCCCCUCCCGCUUCUCUCUUGUUUUGUUUGUAUGAGCCCUGCAGCCUAUCCUCCUCACCGUCCCUCCUCCGGCCCGCUUGUCUUCAUUUGCCACACGAGCGCGUUACGAUCACGACAAGCACUACUUGAAAGCCUCUUCUUAGUUCGUUUUUUUUUUUUCGCUUCUCCUUUUUUUUCCGCAUCUUUCCCUGUUCUCUGUCUGCGUCUCUCUGUGUGUGUCUCUCUCGUGUAUCCGCCUCCGGCAUUUUUCAUGUACCUUCGCCCUUCCCCCGCUCACUCCCUCCGCUCUCUCGCCGCGGUUGCUACUUUUGCGCUGUUUUCUCGUCUGAGGGGGCUCCACCUCUACCCCUUUGUUUUGUCAUUGGCGCGCUGCUAAAUCGACGUUAGGGUGAAGAGGACAGGGCGCGUGGGUUGCUGUUUGCUUGCUCCUCGCUCUGAUCUUCUCGCCUUCAUACCUUCCCGCCCUCCCCGGUUGUCUUGUCGGACGCAACAGUACAGAAGAACGAGCAGCGCAAACAAAGGUACUCCGCACACGCACACGCGCAAGAGUUGCACACGAGAAAGUCAUGUUGUAUUUCUUCGCCGCUGUUCUCUGUGCCGUCAGCGCACUGCUGCUGUUGAACCGAGCGCUCUCGCGGCUGCGGUGGAGCCCGGCGCGCACGUCGUACGACUACGAUGUCAUCAUUGUCGGUGGCAGUAUCGCGGGCCCGGUGCUGGCCAAGGCGCUUUCGGAUCAGGGUCGAAAGGUGCUGAUGGUGGAACGGACGCUUUUCACUAAGCCGGACCGCAUCGUCGGUGAGCUGCUGCAGCCUGGCGGUCUGAACGCGCUGAAAGAGGUGGGCAUGAAGGAGUGCGCCGAGACUAUUGGCAUGCCCUGCCGUGGCUACGUGGUGGUAGACCAUAAGGGCAAUCAUGUGGAGCUGCCCUACCGCAAGGGCGCCUCGGGAGUGUCCUUCCAUUUCGGCGACUUUGUGCAGAGUCUGCGCUCGCACGUCUUCCACAAGUGCAAGGCGAAUGUUACGAUGAUCGAGGGCACCGUCAACAACAUCUUGACGGAGGGCCUCUCCUUCGGCGAGCGCGCCUACGGCGUCGAGUACACGGUAGCGGAGAAGUAUGAGGUGCCAGCCAAUCCGUUCCGCGAGGACCCGCCCAAGGCCAACCGCGUGGCCCCGACGGUGCGCAAGGUUGCCACGGCACCGCUAGUUGUCAUGUGCGAUGGUGGCAUGUCCAAGUGGAAAAGCCGCUACCAGCACUACACCCCUGCCUACGACUACCACUCGCACUUUAUUGGCCUCGUGCUCAAGACGGUGCGUCUGCCCAAGGAGCAGCGCGGGGCGGUCUUCCUCGGCAAGACGGGCCCGAUUCUGUCAUACCGCCUGGACGACAACGAACUGCGCUUACUGGUGGACUACAACAAGCCCACAUUGCCCAGCCUCGAGAAGCAGAGCGAGUGGCUCAUCCAGGACGUGGCGCCGCGCCUGCCGGAGAACAUGCGCGAAGAGUUUGUUCGGGUAUCAAAAGACACAAAGAGUCUGCGCAGCAUGCCUAUGGCGCGCUAUCCGCCUGCGUUUCCCUCCAUCAAGGGCUACGUUGGCAUCGGCGACCAUGCCAACCAACGGCACCCGCUGACGGGCGGUGGCAUGACGUGCUGCUUCCGCGACGCAAUUCGCCUGGCAAACAGCUUGAAUGGUAUCCAGUCACUGCGCUCCGUCAACCAGGAGGAGAUGGCCGCCAUCGAGGACAAGAUGCAGGCCGCCAUUUUGAACUAUGCGCGCUACCGCUACACCCACAGUUGCUGCAUCAAUCUACUGUCGUGGGCUCUUUACUCCGUCCUCAGCAGCCCGGCCUUGCGGGACGCGUGCUUCGACUACUUUUUGUGCGGUGGGAACUGCGUGACGGGCCCGAUGGAUCUGCUAGCGGGUCUCGACCCAAACGUAGGCAACCUCUUCUUUCACUACUGCUGCGUGAUGCUGCACGGCGUCGCUAACGUAAUGAUGAGGACGGGUGCGUACAGCAAAACUGGCAAACAGCUGUCCAACUCGGAGAAGCUGACCAACGUCGCCUCCUUCUUCGUGGACUGGGAGCGCAUAAAGCAUGCGGCGUAUCUGCUGGGCAAGUCGACGAAGAUCGCGCUUCCGCUGGCGAAGAACGAGUUCUACUCUAUGUGGCGCUUCGUCGAUCCCACGAGCCCACUGGCCAACAUCUCCAAGAGCAUCAAGACGAUGGUCUACACGAGGCAGUUCAACGGCAAACAACGCAAGCCUGUUGGCCUCUGAGCCGCACACGUUACUGUGGGGGUGUCCGCUCCCUUCUCACGCGCUCAUGUUUCUGUGACGGAUUAUGUGUAAGAUUGAGAGCGUGCGCACGUACGGGCUCUUGGUAGGGACCUGCGAGCAGGAAUAGAGGAGAUGAUGCGCAACUUUGGUAAAUGACGCAAAACUCUCUCCUCUAGGCUUUUUCGCUCACUUACCUUCUUUCGAACAUCUCUGCACGCGUCGCGCGCCGUUCUCCCUGAUCUUCUUCCUUAACGUUUUUUUCUAUUUCCCCCCAUCGUCUCUCUAAAGGUACUUCUCGCCAUCCCCCUCUCCAAUCAGCCUGUGUGCCAGCUCUUCUCUCCCGUCCCCGUGAAGGCUGAUGAGUUUGUACAUAUGUGUACAUGUGCACGUGUGUGUGUGUCCUUCGUGAGUUUUGUCCGCAAAGGUGCAAGGAGAGACGUGCCUGCAUCUUGUGUUUCUUCUUUCGAACAGUAUCCCCCUUUCGGGUGGAAGCAGAGGUGGUGGGAGAAGCGGUGCCUUGUCUCUCUUGGUUUACGGCUUCGCGACUAUGCACACACACACACACAUAUAUAUAUAUAUAGACCGUCCCCUGCCUCUCUUCCAUCCCUCCGAAUCCACAAACGCACGCACCCUGGACCGCCGCUUCUGCUCACUGACGCGCCGCCGCUCGUGCGCGCACAAACAUGAAUGCUAGACCCCCUUUUCUCUCUCUUGUGAUGGUUGAAAAGAUGGAAAGAGGGGGGAACACGUGCGAAAAAAGAGGCCACGCAUGGAAAGGCGCGCACCCAGAGAGUCCCCCCACACACGCGCAUGCGCAGCUGCUAAAGCACGAGAACGCUCUGUGCAGGCGAGAAAAACGAGGCAAAGUUGAUGAACAUUACACGAGAGGGUGACUGCGCGAAGACCACCCUCUCCCUGACAUCUUCGACUCCUUCCUCUCCUGUGCUCCCCCUCCACAUCUCUCCCGGUAUAUGUGUGUGUGUGUGUAUGCGUGCAUACUUUCAUGCCAGAGAGAGGGGCAAGAGGGAGAAGGAGUGAGAAAGUGUGCACACUUCUUUGAAGAAC